GAUGCAGCAACGCCGCGUGAACGAUGAAGGUCUUCGGAUCGUAAAGUUCUGUUGCAGGGGAAGAUAAUGACGGUACCCUGUGAGGAAGCCCCGGCUAACUACGUGCCAGCAGCCGCGGUAAUACGUAGGGGGCUAGCGUUAUCCGGAUUUACUGGGCGUAAAGGGUGCGUAGGUGGUCCUUCAAGUCGGUGGUUAAAGGCUACGGCUCAACCGUAGUAAGCCGCCGAAACUGGAGGACUUGAGUGCAGGAGAGGAAAGUGGAAUUCCCAGUGUAGCGGUGAAAUGCGUAGAUAUUGGGAGGAACACCAGUAGCGAAGGCGGCUUUCUGGACUGCAACUGACACUGAGGCACGAAAGCGUGGGUAGCAAACAGGAUUAGAUACCCAGGUAGUCCACGCUGUAAACGAUGAGUACUAGGUGUCGGGGGUUACCCCCCUCGGUGCCGCAGCUAACGCAUUAAGUACUCCGCCUGGGGAGUACGCACGCAAGUGUGAAACUCAAAGGAAUUGACGGGGACCCGCACAAGUAGCGGAGCAUGUGGUUUAAUUCGAAGCAACGCGAAGAACCU
RNAcentral lists this ribosomal RNA (567 nucleotides) under Peptostreptococcus stomatis. RNAcentral describes it as "bacterial SSU rRNA". It matches the Rfam family "Bacterial small subunit ribosomal RNA", at positions 385 to 971 of the family's 1533-position model. The record is from RNAcentral. Lineage: Bacteria; Bacillati; Bacillota; Clostridia; Peptostreptococcales; Peptostreptococcaceae.